GACGAACGCUGGCGGCGUGCCUAAUACAUGCAAGUAGAACGCACAGUUUAUACCGUAGCUUGCUACACCAUAAACUGUGAGUUGCGAACGGGUGAGUAACGCGUAGGUAACCUGCCUGGUAGCGGGGGAUAACUAUUGGAAACGAUAGCUAAUACCGCAUAAUAUUGAUUAUUGCAUGAUAAUUGAUUGAACGAUGCUAUUGCAUCACUACCAGAUGGACCUGCGUUGUAUUAGCUAGUAGGUGAGGUAACGGCUCACCUAGGCGGCGAUACAGAGCCGACCGGGGGGGGUGAUCGGGCACACUGGGACUGAGACACGGCCCAGGCUGCGACGGGAGGGAGCAGUAGGGAAGGUUCGGCAAUGGAGGGAAGGCUGGCCGGGGAACGCCGCGUGGGGGAAGAAGGUUUGCGGAUCGUAAAGCUCUGUUGGAAGAGAAGAACGGGUGUGAGAGUGGAAAGUGCACGCGGUGACGGUAUCUUACCAGAAAGGGACGGCUAACUACGUG
Molecule: ribosomal RNA, 505 nt
Filed under: uncultured bacterium
Lineage: Bacteria
Description: partial 16S ribosomal RNA
Rfam family: Bacterial small subunit ribosomal RNA
Source: RNAcentral